This is a long non-coding RNA of Manis pentadactyla (Chinese pangolin), 659 nucleotides long. RefSeq lists it as uncharacterized. The transcript has 3 exons. The record is from RefSeq and is a predicted model, not a curated record. NCBI's taxonomy places the organism in Eukaryota, Metazoa, Chordata, Mammalia, Pholidota, Manidae.
AUAAAAUUCCAAGUGGGAGUAAUUCUAAGUAGAGGGUCAGAAAAGUAUGCUUCAAUGGAAUGUGAAAACAUGCUGGUGGUCAUGUUUACAACUGUCAAGAAAGAAAAGAUCAAAAAGUCUUAAGAGGUGGGGUUGAGUCAUGAAGUUCCACAUAAGGUAAAGGGAUGUGAACAAUCUGGCAGUUCCUCAAAAUGUGUCUUGGGACAUCACAACUCUGAAGGCAGGCCCUAUGCUUUCCAGAGAGUUCCCAGGAAGAAUUGGCUUGAAUGCUGUGCCACCAUCAGUUCCCCCUGAUUUCUGAGAGGAUCAUGUGGAAAUGGAGAGCAACAGCCCCUGGUGCUCACUGUGCUUGUCAAGAGCAGAUCCAGCAAGCUGUGAAGAUGCUCUGCACCCUGGUCUGGCCAAGGUCAACACCCCGAGGAGCGAAGAAGGCUUACCUUAGACUAGACCAACUCCGAUGCUGCCAAGACUGGGAUUAUCUGAAUGGACUCUGGUUCACAGUUUUAAAUAUACUUAAGGUUUUCUGUGAUCCAAGAAAAAAAUUACAGUUGUGCUCCCCUCUCCACCCCCACACACAUACACCUUAUUCCCCUUUUCAGCUUUCUCUUGGUAGCACUUUUUACAACUUGAAAAUAUGUUAUUUUUUAUUUGCUUAUUAU